UGCCAAUGACGAGAGAACUGGUAAAUGUGUAAUGUAUGAUUUUUUUAUGAUUACAGACCCUACUGCCUUCCUUCUGAGGCC
This is a non-coding RNA of Glycine max (soybean), 81 nucleotides long. NCBI's taxonomy places the organism in Eukaryota, Viridiplantae, Streptophyta, Magnoliopsida, Fabales, Fabaceae. The record is from Rfam.